GACGAACGCUGGCGGCGUGCUUAACACAUGCAAGUCGAACGGAAAGGCCCUGCUUUUGUGGGGUGCUCGAGUGGCGAACGGGUGAGUAACACGUGAGUAACCUGCCCUUGACUUUGGGAUAACUUCAGGAAACUGCGGCUAAUACCGGAUAGGAGCUCCUGCUGCAUGGUGGGGGUUGGAAAGUUUCGGCGGUUGGGGAUGGACUCGCGGCUUAUCAGCUUGUUGGUGGGGUAGUGGCUUACCAAGGCUUUGACGGGUAGCCGGCCUGAGAGGGUGACCGGCCACAUUGGGACUGAGAUACGGCCCAGACUCCUACGGGAGGCAGCAGUGGGGAAUAUUGCACAAUGGGCGGAAGCCUGAUGCAGCAACGCCGCGUGCGGGAUGACGGCCUUCGGGUUGUAAACCGCUUUCGCCUGUGACGAAGCGUGAGUGACGGUAAUGGGUGAAGAAGCACCGGCUAACUACGUG
Molecule: ribosomal RNA, 468 nt
Filed under: uncultured bacterium
Lineage: Bacteria
Description: partial 16S ribosomal RNA
Rfam family: Bacterial small subunit ribosomal RNA
Source: RNAcentral